AGGCCCCGCCCCGCACGCCUCGCCUGAGGCGGGUCGGCUCAGCCCAGGCGCCCGCCCCCGCCCCCGCAGAUUAAAUGGGCCGGCGGGGCUCAGCCCCCGGAAACGGCCGUACACUUCGGGGCUGCGAGCGCGGAGGGCCGCGGCGACGAAGCGCAGACAGCGUCAUGGCAGAGCAGGUGGCCCUGAGCCGGACCCAGGUGUGCGGGAUCCUGCGGGAAGAGCUGUUCCAGGGCGAUGCCUUCCAUCAGUCGGAUACACACAUAUUCAUCAUCAUGGGUGCAUCGCUUUCGAGUAGGAUAUGGUGAUGGUGAAUGAGCCCGUAGUACAUCCGUGGAUGGUGGUGUUGGCGAAACCGCGGCAGUGGAGAGCAUGUAUAUACACAGAAAAAGCAUCUAUUCCAAAGAGAAAAACUUGCUGCCCCCUGCAGAAUGGAAGGGGUUUGAUAUGAUAUAAUCAUCUUUUCACCAGGUAGGUCUGAAUGUCUGUAACCCCAAAUUUCAUAUGUUGAAACCUAAUCACCGAUAUGAUGUUAUUGCAAGUGGAGCCUUGAAUGGUGAUUAGAUCAAGAGGGCAGAGACCUCAAGAAUGGGAUUAGUGUCCUCAUAAAGGAGACCCCUGAGAGGUUCCAUGUGCAAACACAGUUAGAAGGCACCAUCUAUGAACCAGAAAGUGGGCUGACACCAAACACCAAAUCUGCUGACUCCUUGAUCUUGAACCUUCCAGCCUCCAAAACGGUAAGAAAUAAAUUUCUGUUGUUUAUAAGCUACCCAGUCUAUGGUAUUGUGCUGUGGCAGCCUGAAUGGGCUAAGACAGACCCCUGUGGGAUGAGCCCAUAUAUGCGGCUCUGCUGUUGGGAGAUUUGGCACUUGGUGAAGACCAUGUUGUUGAGCCCGUGAGUAACUUCCAUUUCUGUCCUCAUGGCCACAUUUAUCAUGAGCCCACUGAGCAAGAAUCGGAGUAACUGAGGAAGGAAGUUAACUCACAUCCCCAGAGCAGGUCAUCACAACCACGUGAGUACCGAAAGCACCUCAGGAACGCACACAAGGGAUGUGCAUUUCCUGGUAUUCUAGGCCCAAUCUGGGAAGUCCAUCCACAUGCCUCUUCUCCAGGAUGCCUUGCUGUCAAUCUUCCAAUAUUGUUACUUCCAAGUCACCACCAUAUGAACAAACUCUUAUAAACUUCCCAUUGACUCAAAUAGAUCUAUGCUUUUAGCACCUUCCUUCUGGACAGAAUGAACAGUAAGAUGCAAUUAUCAAAAUGUGUCCUCAACAAUAAUUAUGAAGACUUGUUGAAUGUGCCAUGAGCGGUUCUUGAAGGGAAAUUUAAGGUUUUGAAGGCUUAGAAUAAACAAACAAUGACUGAAAAGAAUGACCUAAGCCUACAAGUCUAUACGUUAGAAAAAGAGCCGAGUAAAGGCAGGGACAGUAGUGCAAGAUAUCCCUUCUUGAUUGAUGGAUAAAACAAACGUUACAAGUCAUAAUAGCGGCCAGGCACGGUGGCUCAUGCCUGUAAUCUCAGCACAUUGGGAGGCCAAGGCGGGCAGGUCACGAGGUCAGGAGAUCGAGACCAUCCUGGCUAACACGGUGAAACCCCGUCUCUACUAGAAAUAGGAAAAAUUAGCGGGGCAUGAUGGUGGGUGCCUGUAGUCCCAGCUACUCAGGAGGCUGAGGCAGGAGAAUGGCAUGAACCUGGGAGGCGGAGCUUGCAGUGAGCCAAGAUCGCGCCACUGCGCUCCAGCCUGGGCCACAGAGUGAGACUUUGCCUCAAAAAAAAAAAAAGAAAAGAAAAAGAAAGUCAUAAUAGAAAUGUUAGAGAAAAAAAAUAUAUAGCUAUAGUAUAGCAGAGAUUUAAAAACAAUAAGAUAAAUUCAUUGCAGUAAAUUUAAAAAACGAUUAACUGGACAUUGUACUAGGAAAAUAUAAUGAACUCGAGAAACAUAUAACAUUUUUCUUUUUGGCCAAGACUGCUCUCCAGGUGGGACUGUGCUUUUCCCAUUACAUUGCACCAGGAAGUGCACCACAUCUGUGUUUGUCUUCAUUGUGAUGUUAUUAGGUUCAGGUGGUGUCAGCCUGAUCACUUUGUGUGUGUGUGGUGUGUGUGUGUGUAUGUGACAGGGUCUCUCUCUGUCACCCACAUUGGAUGCAGUGGUGAAAUCCUAGCUCACUACAGCCACAUUGUUCAUUCAUCCGUUCAUGGAUGACACUUGGAUGGUUCCACUUUUGGCUAUUGUCAAUAAUGAUGCAACAAACAUGGCACACAAGUAUCUGUUUGAGCACCUGUGUUUCUGAGCAGCCGCCAACAGUUUUCCAUAGUGCCUGCACGACUACAUCAAUCGGGAAUAGAUGAGGGUUCCAACUUCUCCCCAUCCUCGUCAACUCUUACUUAUUCCUAUUUUUUAAGUAACCAUCCGCAGUAACUGUGAAGUGGUAUCUCAUUGUGGCUUUGACUGCAUUCCC
This 2456-nucleotide long non-coding RNA is filed under the name Cercocebus atys (sooty mangabey). RNAcentral's name for it is "lncRNA (ENSCATG00000045808.1)". Lineage: Eukaryota; Metazoa; Chordata; Mammalia; Primates; Cercopithecidae. The record is from RNAcentral.